RNAcentral lists this ribosomal RNA (482 nucleotides) under uncultured bacterium. RNAcentral's name for it is "partial 16S ribosomal RNA". It matches the Rfam family "Bacterial small subunit ribosomal RNA", at positions 30 to 507 of the family's 1533-position model. The record is from RNAcentral.
AUUGAACGCUGGCGGCAUGCCUUACACAUGCAAGUCGAACGGUAACAGGUCUUCGGAUGCUGACGAGUGGCGAACGGGUGAGUAAUACAUCGGAACGUGCCCAGACGUGGGGGAUAACGAGGCGAAAGCUUUGCUAAUACCGCAUACGAUCUAAGGAUGAAAGCAGGGGACCGCAAGGCCUUGUUCGUUUGGAGCGGCCGAUGGCAGAUUAGGUAGUUGGUGGGAUAAAAGCUUACCAAGCCGACGAUCUGUAGCUGGUCUGAGAGGACGACCAGCCACACUGGGACUGAGACAUGGCCCAGACUCCUACGGGAGGCAGCAGUGGGGAAUUUUGGACAAUGGGCGAAAGCCUGAUCCAGCAAUGCCGCGUGCAGGAUGAAGGCCUUCGGGUUGUAAACUGCUUUUGUACGGAACGAAAAGGCUCUGGCUAAUACCUGGGGCACAUGACGGUACCGUAAGAAUAAGCACCGGCUAACUACGUG